Molecule: long non-coding RNA, 3025 nt
Organism: Cololabis saira (Pacific saury)
Lineage: Eukaryota; Metazoa; Chordata; Actinopteri; Beloniformes; Belonidae
Exons: 2
Source: RefSeq, a predicted model, not a curated record
AUCUCGAAAUUUUGACUUUUUUCUCGACAUUUUGACUUUUUUCUCGAGAUUGUACUUCAACAUUAAUCUCGAUAUUUCGCCUUUUUCUCGACAUUUCGACUUUUUUCUCAACAUUUCGACUUUUUCUCAACAUUUCGCCUUUCGCCAUUUGCCUUCAUUCUAAUACAAGGCUCUUCAUUUUUUGCGGCUCCAGACAUAUUUGUUUUUUGUGUUUUUGUUCCAAUAUGGCUCUUUCAACCGCUUGGGUUGCCGACCCCUGGUUCAAACAUACAGCGGGAACGGUAAUGGGAUUUUUAUCUGACUAUAUUUAUAUACGAUGUUUAUAUCACUGUACAACGCUGUACAUUACGAGACGUUUCUUUAUUAUAUUUUAACGUUACAGUCAGCUGUUCGGUCUCUCUCUACAUCCCGUGUGUCUGUCCAUUGAGCUGUUACGCCGAGAGCGCCCCCUGCAGGUUUGGAGCACUUCCGAUUGUAGUGACCGGUUAUGAAGCGUUUUUCUUUUGAAGAUGGUUUCUUGUUUUAUAUUGUUUUGUGCUUUGCAUUGUUUCUCUAUUUGCAGCGCGUUUGUUGAUGCUGCAUUUGUCUUUGUUUUUUGCAGCAUGUUUUUUUCAUUUGCACCACGUUCCUCUUUUUGAACCUCGUUUUGAGUUUGUGAAUUUGAAUCAUUUCUGUACUUGAAGCCGUUUUCCUUAACUGAGACGCAUUAAGCCGUUGCAGUGUGUUUGGCCCUUCUCGGCCACCGUACAAGGUUGCUAAAUCUUGAUAAUAAUAUCUGUGAAACAUGUUCUUUAAGCGGUUCUGACUUACUUUUAUUGCAAACGACACGCGCCUGCAUCGGUAGAAGUAGUUUCUUUUAAACUUUACAUGACAAGUAGACAGAAUAUCUGGAAAAAUGUUCAAAGUAGAGAGUGUUGGAGAGUCAUUGGUGGGGGGUAAGAGGGCAGGACACACCCUGGACGAGACAAGUCACCAGUCCAUGUGGGAGGGCGUAAACACAACGCCAAGAGGCAAAGACAUAAGCAAUGGCUGCUGCAAGUUCACCUGGAAGGAAUUUUAAAACCAUUUCUGAGUCCAAAGUUCUGUAGUGAGAAAGAUUAUUUAAUAUUUGAAGCGUUCAAAAUAGUUCACCGGUCUUCCCAGAAGUGGAUUCACAAGCAAAUUCGUCCAACCAGUGCUUAGAGAAAUGCAAAAAAAACAAGACAAGAGCUCCAUCUCAGACACUACAGCCCUAAAUAAGCAGAUAAAAUGUUAAAGUCCAUGUUAGCAUAAUUAGAAAAGACUGAGGGGGGUGGGUUUACUUGGGAGGAUUGCCAGGAGACGACCUCUUCUCUUUAAAAAAAACUCCAUACAUCUGGACAUGUGAGGCCGAGGUCACCUUUCCUUUGGUAGUUCCUCUCAGAGUUUACUGUCAGGGUUGGACGGAGACUUUGGGCCAAUCCCAAUACACCCCCUACUUUCUACCACUAGCCCUCCCUCACUACCACUAGCCCUAAAAAAGAAGCCACAGAUUUUAGGGCACUUGAAAUCUUCCCAGGGCCCUGUCCCAAUACUCCCACUACUCCUACUUUCAGCACCACCCCUAAAAUCAGGAAGCUGAGAGCCAAAAGCUGUUUUAAUUUCUGCUGUAGCGCUGUUACUAUGCCACUUUAUUGAGUUUUAAUAUUUUUUCAGGCGUAAAAGUAACCGUUAAGAUCCCCAACCUGGGCUCAGUUUAUCCAAAUAACACCUGUUAAGAAAUUUGAUCCGAUGUUUUCGGAGAUGAUAAGAGAACAGACGUGAUCGCGCUGCGCCGUCGUUCCGGGGGAGAAACCUGUAGCUCUGUGGAGAAUUACAACUGGCUGAAAUAAAUCAUUUAGGAAGAUAAAUGUUGGUUUAAUAGAUGAAAUCUAACAGUUGUAGCUACGCCUGUUGAUGAUUUAUGGCUCUGCGUUGAUGUAACGCGGAACCAUAAAUCAGCCUUUAUUCUGGCGAGGUUUGAAAAAGACUUCGAAAAAACGGGCAAACGAGUGAUUAUAUACAUUCACUGAGUGAAUAUUAUGAAAGUAAAAUAUAUAUUUCUCGCUAGAAAUGUAAUCAAAAUGCAUUUUUAUGCAGAAACUAACUCAAAAUAUUGAUUUUAUUCACUAAAAAAUAAGAAAUGUCCGCCAUGUUUUUUUUUUUUAUUCAGUCCGCAAAUGACGACAAAAAGCAUUCUGGGAAAUUUUUCUAGCCCACGGUCAGCUAGUGUGCAUCUGAAAUCCCUCGAUCCGUAGGGACAGAUUCAUAGCCACUACACUACUUUUCUUCACUCCCCCUAGGUGAAAAGAGGAAUUGGGACACCACUACCCUCACAGGAACGCGGAAAAUUUAGGGGUAGGGCUGAAAAGUAGGGGAAGUGGGAGUAUUGGGACAGGGCCUUUGACUGCAAAGAUACAACACGUGGUCACUCCAGGACGUUCUCGAAGUCUCCUUGAAGACUCUCAGUUUUCUUGCUGAAAUGAAAACCGUCACCUCAGUCUUAUUUCAUUCAUGCUCCUAUAUCGUUCGACAUCAAUCUUCUCGUCACAGAAGAAGAAAAACAAGAAAAAUCUCCCUGCAGAAUGAUGCUGCCAUCCCCAUGUUGUCCAGAUUCAUGUUAGUGGCUGUAGACGUAACCACGGAAACAGCCAGAGCACAAACACACUGUGAUUCACAUCCAACCGGCGGCUUGUAGCUGAAACAUUGAAAACACUAUCUGUUUUUUUUUCUUCUUUUGAGUGAAUGAAUCUUUAUAUUGACAGAUAUUUAUCUAAGUGAAUUCAUUUGUAUUUGGGUUUAUGUUGUCAGUGGAAUAAGUGGAGAAAGAUCUUGAUGCUUUUUUUUUUUCUUUCAUAAUAUAUAUCGUGCAGAGUUUAUCGGCGAAACCUCCAGACUUCGAUUUAAUAAGUUCAAGUCAGCUUGAAAACACAUUGCAGAAACGUUUGAAAGCAUAUAUCCAACUGCUGUAAAGUUGCACAUUGUAAAAUAGUUUUGUCUGUCCCAGAAUAAAGUUAUAUUUAUUCAA